CUACGUGCCAGCAGCCGCGGUAAUACGGAAGGUCCAGGCGUUAUCCGGAUUUAUUGGGUUUAAAGGGAGCGUAGGCUGGAGAUUAAGUGUGUUGUGAAAUGUAGACGCUCAACGUCUGAAUUGCAGCGCAUACUGGUUUCCUUGAGUACGCACAACGUUGGCGGAAUUCGUCGUGUAGCGGUGAAAUGCUUAGAUAUGACGAAGAACUCCGAUUGCGAAGGCAGCUGACGGGAGCGCAACUGACGCUUAAGCUCGAAGGUGCGGGUGUCAAACAGGAUUAGAUACCCUGGUAGUCCGCACAGUAAACGAUGGAUGCCCGCUGUUGGUACCUGGUAUCAGCGGCUAAGCGAAAGCAUUAAGCAUCCCACCUGGGGAGUACGCCGGCAACGGUGAAACUCAAAGGAAUUGACGGGGGCCCGCACAAGCGGAGGAACAUGUGGUUUAAUUCGAUGAUACGCGAGGAACCUUACCCGGGCUUGAAUUGCAGAGGAAGGAUUUAGAGAUA
RNAcentral lists this ribosomal RNA (505 nucleotides) under uncultured bacterium. Its description in RNAcentral is "bacterial SSU rRNA". It matches the Rfam family "Bacterial small subunit ribosomal RNA", at positions 501 to 1008 of the family's 1533-position model. The record is from RNAcentral.